Apaloderma vittatum (bar-tailed trogon) is the source of this 73-nucleotide non-coding RNA. The record is from Rfam. Lineage: Eukaryota; Metazoa; Chordata; Aves; Trogoniformes; Trogonidae.
GGCCAGUUAACUCAGUCAGUUGAGUGUGGCGCUAACAACACCAAGGUCGUGGGUUCGAUUCCCAUUCGGUCCC